GAUGAAGAACGUAGCGAAAUGCGAUACUUGGUGUGAAUUGCAGAAUCCCGUGAACCAUCGAGUCUUUGAACGCAAGUUGCGCCCGAAGCCAUUAGGCCGAGGGCACGCCUGCCUGGGCGUCACACGUCGUUGCCCCCCAUCUACUCCUUCGGGAUUGCGGGGGGCGAAUGAUGGCCUCCCGUGCGCCUCGUCGCGCGGUUGGCAUAAAUGCCAAGUCCUCGGCGACGCACGCCACGACAAUCGGUGGUUGCGAAACCUCGGUUGCCCGUCGUGUGCGGUCGUCGCGCAUCGAGGGCUCGAAAAAAUUGCCGGGCUCCGGCUCGGCUUUCAACGCGACCCCAGGUCAGGCGGGGUUACCCGCUGAAUUUAAGCAUAUCAAUAAGCGGAGGA
This 390-nucleotide unclassified non-coding RNA is filed under the name soil metagenome. RNAcentral describes it as "partial contains 5.8S ribosomal RNA, internal transcribed spacer 2, and large subunit ribosomal RNA". The stretch from base 1 to 122 matches the Rfam family "5.8S ribosomal RNA", at positions 35 to 154 of the family's 154-position model. The record is from RNAcentral.